UGAGAUAUUUGAAAACAAUGAGUUUAAUACAAAGGAGAUAUUAACGCAAUACUAAGCUGAAUCUAACUAUGUCUGAAAAUAGCUCUAAACUGGACUAGAAAUACUCGGACAAGCCCCCAGCUAAAUCUAGCAAAAACUGAAACUAAAUGACUAAAGACUGAAAUGACAUUCAUGACUAUUGUCCUCGGAGAAUGAGGACUCACCACUGAAUCUACUGAACUGGAGAUCGGGAAAUCGAUCUAUGUGUGAUCUGGAUGCUGAGAACCUGAACCUACAUCACAAGAAGAUGUAGCGCAUGUAUACGUCAGUACUUGAAAGGUACUGAGCAUGUAGGAUAGAGUAAAGCUGAAAUAAAACAUAACUGAACAAAUAAAAUAGCAAGUAUAAUAAUCUGACAUGAUAAACUGAAUUCUGAGCUAACUGUAUGCAAUGACCAAUUUAUAAAAUGCUAAAACUGAAUACUGAAUAUACUAAUAAAUGGUUAAUGUAGAGAGUCUGACUAAUCUGUGGGAGUUACUAAUAACCGAUAAUAAAACCACAUGAGCUAAAUGUGGGUCUGAUGUAUAUGCCCCAUCGAGAGGAUCCAAUAUACCUUGCUAGAGGUAUAAAGACAUGCUAGCGUGAUCACUAAACUGAUUGCCCAUAGAGAGGACUUACAAUCUACUUGGCUAGUAGUUCUGGGACUAUUGACUACGCUAAACCAUAGUCCAACUCGGUAUUAUGUUACUCUCAAUGAAUUCUGUAAAUUUACUGCUUAUGUUUGAAUUUCUAUCAAUACUAGAUAGCUCCAAGCUGAACAUGCAAACUGAGAAUGCAACAAUUAAUCUGGUAAUUAUGCAUUUAUAACUGAGGCAUGUAUAUCUAAAGUGUCUGAAAUAUCUGACCUAGCAUGUGUAAUUCAAGAAUUAAAGAAAUACAAAGUUAAGGUUCUGAAAUUCAUGCAAUAAACUUAAUAAUAACAUGAUAAUCUGAUUUGGAACAUAACACUAAUAAAUUCAUAAAGUUCUAUCAAAGUUCUAGAAACCCUAGAUCUAAUCAUGAUAUCGGAAUAAAAAAUCUAACUGAAAACUAGGGACCCAAUGGGUGAAAGGAACCCACUAGUUAAAUCCCACAUGCAUGGUGAUGAAAUCCACGGAAAAAUACUUAAGUUUCGGGGCUGGAACUGCUGGAACUUGUGGUGUUCUUGAACUAAGGUUCUUGAGCUUUUUCUCUUUUUUUGCUUCUAGUUUUCUAAGUUUUGAUUUAAUGAUUUGACUUGGAUAUGUUUUAAUUAUAUUUCCAGGCUUAAAUGACUAAAAUAUGAUGAUUUAUGAUCAAAACGACGUAAAUUAGGGUUUAAAAAGAGUGGGAAAGGUCAAAAAGACCCCUGGGAAAGUUGUUGUCGGAACAAACGAUGGCCAGGACUGACGGUCCAUCGUCUGACCGAAGCCCCGUCGUGGGGUCCGUCGAUUGGGCCUGUUCGACAGGCUUUUACUAAAAUAGGUAUAACUUUUUACUCGGAGGUCUGAUUUUCGCAAGAUUGGUGGAUAUGGAAAGAUACUAUCUAUGGAUAGGUCAUGAGACACCUAAUUCAUUUUAUUAUAAGAGUUAUAACUAUUUGAAGUUGACCCAACUGCAUUUCCCCUUAACUGUCUGUAAAUUUUCCACCUACGGAACGUCGUCUGACCUACGGACCGUGGGUCCGUCCGUCGAUCAAGACUUUUCCAAAUUUUUUCCCGGAUGAAUUUUUGGGAGUUUCUGAUCCCAUCGACGGUUGUGCAAGACGAACCGUCGUCUGUCUUACGAACCGUCGAUGCCAUAGUUGGUUUCACCUGCAGAUUUCUUAAAAAAAAACUGAUUUUUGGUUUAUUUUGGCUACGGGGUGUUACAAAUACAAAGAAGAAAGAAAGUUUUCGUGAAAAAGUACAAGGAAAUCACGCUUGUUUUUUUUAUCUUUUUUGAAGAAAUAAAGUCUUUCUUAUCUUUCUCAAAGAAAUACAGAGUCUUUUAAUUUUUUCUUAAAAAAGAACUCCCAAAGAUGAAGGGUUUCUUGAAAUAAGUGUCAUUUUUUUAUAAAAUAAAUUAUAUUUUUCACAUUUAUUAUAUUUUCUCUCUUCUUUAACAAACAUUUUUAGUGGUACUUUAUGCAAUUGUUUAGUACUUAGUAUGUAUGGUAUAAUUCAAUUUUAAAUAUAUAUAGAUCCCACUUAUUCGACCAAAUGUCUCACCUUAGGGCUCUCCGGUCUUAUUUGUGUGAAAUAAAGAUGGUUCCCUUAGGAUGUGUAUAGAUUACCGUCAAUUGAGCAAGGUUACCAUCAAGAACAAAAAGUCUUCCAAAAAUUGAUGAUAUUUUUUAUUAGCUUCAGGGUGCUACUUGUUUCUCUAAGAUAGACCUCGGAGAAGGUUAUCAUUAGUUGAGGGUAAGGAAAUAUGAUAUUCUAAAGACAUCUUUCAAAACCCUUUAUGGUGAUUAUGAGUUUUUGGUCAUGUCGUUCGGUUUAACUAAUGCACCUGCAGCAUUGAUGAACCUUAUGAAUGGAGUAUUAAAACCUAAUUUAGAUAUGUUAAACAUUGUCUUCAUUUAUGACUUACUAAUCUAUUUGAGAAAUGAAGAUCAUGCUAGUCAUUCAAAAUAAUUCUCUAGAAUCUAAGAAUAGAGAGUUAUAUGCCAAGUUCUCUAAGUAUGAGUUUUGGCUUGAGUUUGUGGUAUUCUUAGGCCACAUUAUGUAUAUAGAAGGAAUAAAGUUAAUACUUAGAAAAUAGAAGCAGUACAAAAUUAGCCUAGACCCACAUCUUCAACAGAUAUUAGGAGUUCCUUGGUUUGACCAACUAUUAUAGAAGGUUCAUAGAGGGGUUCUCAUUUAUUUUGUCCCUUUUGACAAGUUAAAUCAGAAGACAAUGAAGUUUCAAUGGUCUGAAACUUGUGAAAAAAGCUUUUAAGAGUGAAGAAGAGGUUUACUAUUGCCCUAGUUUUGACAUUACCAGAAGGUAUGCAAGGUUUUAUUGUUUAUUUUGAUGUGUAUAGAGUUGGCAUGGGUUUUUUUAGUGAUGUAUAAUGCCAAAGUUAUAGAUUAUGCCUACAGAGAAUUGAAAAAUCAUGACAAAAAUUACCCAACUUAUGACUUAGACUUGGUUGUUGUAGUAUUUGCAUUGAAAAUAUGGUGUCAUUAUUUGUAUGACAUUCAUGUUAAUGUAUUCACUAAUCACAAUAGUCAUAAAUAUGUGUUUACUCAGAAAGAGCUUAAUCUCAGACAAAGAAGGUGGUUAGAAUUACUUAAGGAUUAUGACAUGAGUAUUCUUUAUCACUCAUGUAAGGCUAAUGUUGCUUUUAUGCUUUAGGAAGGUUGUCUUUGGGUAGUACCACCCAUGAGUAUUCUGUUUACAUCCCUACUCUGUCAAAAUAGGGCGAAACGUCGCAGCAACUCAAAAAUUAUUAAUUUGAUUCAAUUUUAACAAAGUUUUAAAAAUAAACGAAUUUUGAAAAGAGUCGCCACCUAAUUUUAGGAAAACUGGGAAACCUAUUAAAUAAUUUACGAAACCAAUUCGACUCUAGGUAAGGGGUUCAAGUUAUUCCGAAGGAAAGGGGUUAGGCACCCUUCGGAAUCCACAAAUGUGGUUUCUGACUGAAUUCAUUUUUUCUUUCAAAUUGAGGAAGAAUGUAAAAUAAACACAUAAAAAAACACACGAUAUACACAAUAAAAUAAAAUAAUAAUUAUCGGUCUAAGGUUUGUCUAACGUCAAUAUUCACAUAAUAAUGAAACAAAGUACGAUUCGAACUUCAUUCGAAUAAUUCAAGGAGAAACAUCUCCGGGUACCUGUAAAGACACUUAGUAAAAGAGUUAGUACCAAAUAAAUAAAAAAUAAAAAUGAAUAACUCAACUAAUAACAUAAAAAUAAAAAUCCGUCUUAUUAACACGGGAGGCCUUGGAAAUCGACAGUAAUUUCUUCAUCGGCCAUUUCAACAUAUAAAAUAUAUAAACUUAAAUUAAAAUUCCGUCUUUUUAAAAUGGGAAGGCCUCCAAAACCGACGAAGAGUUUUUUCAUUGGCCCCUUUCAACAUGUAAAAUAUAUAAACUUGAAUUAAAAUUCCGUCUUUUUAAAUUAUGGAGACCUCCAAAACCGACGGAGAGUUUUUUCAUUGGCCACUUCACAACUAAAAAUAACACAAUAAACGAUAAUAACAACAAAUUCUACCAUAGAAUAACUUAAGCUUAGAACAAAAUCAUAUGAACAAUAACAAAUAUAAAACAAUAUAAAAUUAAUUGAAACAAAUUCCUUAAGCAAUUAUCAACAUAAAUACUCGAACAGUGGUCAAAUAUUAAACAAAACAAUACAAAAUAAAUUCUUAUGAAAUAAUAGCAACAUUUAAUGUAACAAAAUAGUAAAAGAAUAACUAUCAACAAUAAAUAAAUUCAAAGCAACAACAAACUCUUUUAAUUAAAUUAAGAAUCUUCUUUAGUGAGAAAACAUACAAAAAAAAAUUAUAUAUAUAUAAAAUAAAUUAAUAGAUAAAAGAAAACUAACAAUAAUCAACUCAUCAUACGAACUCUAUUAGAAUAAUUUACAAUAAUAAUAAAAAUGAAUAAUUAAAUAAAUACUAAUAGGUAAAACAGCAGCAACUCAGUCAAGAUAAGUAGAUUAUAAAUGGAGUUUCGUAAAGUUAAAGCACAAACUUUAAAAUAAAUAAUAACUAAAAAAUUUAAAAAUAAUAAUAAAAAAUCAUGAAAGAAUAUCUCCAUUAUGCUUGUUGGAAAGAAACAACAAUAAAGAAAUCACCUCUAAUAGAGAAAUAGAACAAAUAGAUCUUUGGAGCUUUUUGGCUUGUCGUUCCAUGGCUUCCUUAGCUCCAUUUUGAUAGAGGGUUUUGAUUUGUUUGCCACAGCUUCGAAGCUCACCGAGGUUGCUCGAGCUGGCCGGAAUACCUACAAAAUAAAUCAAAAUCGUGAAGGGGAGAGAGGGAAAGGGACUGUUUCAUUUUUAUAUUUAUAUUUUUUUCUUAUUUGGCUCCGGUUCAUCGGAGCUUAAAGCUCCCCGCCGGGGUUGCUGCUAGCUGCAAAAACGAGAAAGAAACAAAAGAGUUUUGGGGGUGGUGUGGUCGGAG
This 5080-nucleotide long non-coding RNA is filed under the name Solanum lycopersicum (tomato). Its description in RNAcentral is "long non-coding RNA (SLYC_LNC000316)". The record is from RNAcentral. Lineage: Eukaryota; Viridiplantae; Streptophyta; Magnoliopsida; Solanales; Solanaceae.